AUUGAACGCUGGUGGCAGGCCUAACACAUGCCAGUCGAACGGUAACAGGAAGAAGCUUGCUUCUUUGCUGACGAGUGGCGGACGGGUGAGUAAUGUCUGGGAAACUGCCUGAUGGAGGGGGAUAACUACUGGAAACGGUAGCUAAUACCGCAUAACGUCGCAAGACCAAAGAGGGGGACCUUCGGGCCUCUUGCCAUCGGAUGUGCCCAGAUGGGAUUAGCUUGUUGGUGGGGUAACGGCUCACCAAGGCGACGAUCCCUAGCUGGUCUGAGAGGAUGACCAGCCACACUGGAACUGAGACACGGUCCAGACUCCUACGGGAGGCAGCAGUGGGGAAUAUUGCACAAUGGGCGCAAGCCUGAUGCAGCCAUGCCGCGUGUAUGAAGAAGGCCUUCGGGUUGUAAAGUACUUUCAGCGGGGAGGAAGGGAGUAAAGUUAAUACCUUUGCUCAUUGACGUUACCCGCAGAAGAAGCACCGGCUAACUCCGUG
RNAcentral lists this ribosomal RNA (490 nucleotides) under uncultured bacterium. Its description in RNAcentral is "partial 16S ribosomal RNA". It matches the Rfam family "Bacterial small subunit ribosomal RNA", at positions 30 to 507 of the family's 1533-position model. The record is from RNAcentral.